UACUAAUCAGAGGUGGAAAAAACUGUCAUAAUAUGAAGCUAAGCAAGUGAUGGAAGGAAGGAGUGAAGCAGUUGAGUUUCUAGGUAACUAGAGUUUCUGGCCAAAAGACAUUAUAAGGUACAGAGAAAAGUAUCUUAGGAGGUCAAAGAGACUACAGUAAGAGAAAAAAGAUAGUCUGGAUUUAAGGUUUACACGCUGCCUUUCUAACCUGGCCUCACAUUUACUGGCAAUAAUCACAGGAAUGAUAUCUUUUUUGAGUCCAUCUGCACAAGAUUCUUCUUCAGAACCUUUCUGCUCAUCGGUUGAUUCUUCAUUCUGGGUUGCAAUAUCACAUCAAUACAAGGAAAUCAUCAUCAAAUCUAGUUUACAACAUCACUUUCAAAUGAACUCCCUGCCGGAAGCUGUUAUGGUAUGGUGAGUACAUAGCUUUUUCUGCCAGGAAAUGAACUUCAAAUGCAGAGGGCAAAAAGAAACAAGUAAGAAUGAUUGCUGAUGGGCCAGAGUUGAUUAAAGAAAAUGGCAAGACAAUUAAGGGAGAAGUGGCUGAGUGACAAACUCACAAAACCCAUAUUCUCACAGCAGCUGGGCAGAAAUGCAAUCAAAGAGGACAUUCAGCCAUUUAUAUCAUCCCAGUCCCAGAUCCUUAUUAGCUGGAAUGAAAGCACUUUGCCCCUGUGAGGGUUUAACUCUCAGCAUUCAACUGGCUAUGUCUUGUAAUUUAGUUAAAAAGUGACACUGAAGGAAUUAGCUGGAGCUAGUCUCCUUAGAACAUCUCGCUAGGCAGUUUCACCUCCUCAAAGUCCAUCUAGCCACCCACACGCACAGAAAGGGAACUUGAGAGAAAUUCAUUCUGAAAAAUGGGCUCCCUUCGAGAACCAUCAUCCCUCUGAGGGUACCAAAGCCUCAGUCAGCAAGGUACACCUUCCUUUCCUGAGGAAGUACCUUGACAGUCUCUCUCACUCUCCACCCAACAUUCUAUUUCUCUCCUCUGCCAGCAGUGAGCAUCAGCUGCUAAAGGCCUUUCACGCUCCAUAAAGAGCCAUCACCUGGCUACAUGCACAGACUUCCCUACAAGGAAUGUCUGCCUUUCAUCACUUCUGGACAAUUCUUAGCCAUUUUCUUCUUUUGAAUAUGGUCUCUCCUUGACUCACUGUAUUCUCCUCUGGAACUGUUAUUAAACAUAUAUUGCAUAGAACUUGUCUCCUGUUACCCCAAUCUGGAUACUAAAACCCAAGCCCAUUAAUGGCUCUGAUAAUCCUUUUCCACUAGCCCCUUUGGGUAGUACUACCAAGUGGGUAUGCCAAGAGAAAUGGAAAAUGAAACUGACCAGAUAUAUCAUUGACUAUUUUUAUCUUUAAUUACUCUGGCAACUCCAGGGAGGCCCCAACUGUCUGGAGAGAAGGAUUCGUAUUAACCAUAAAAUGUGAAGAAUUUAGCAAACAGUUUGAUUUUUUUACUGUUAAAAAAUGCUUUUUAAUAAAGUUCAAAACUUUGUUUCCAA
Non-coding RNA from Microcebus murinus (gray mouse lemur), 1501 nucleotides. Lineage: Eukaryota; Metazoa; Chordata; Mammalia; Primates; Cheirogaleidae. The record is from RefSeq and is a predicted model, not a curated record.